UACGUAGGGUGCAAGCGUUGUCCGGAAUUAUUGGGCGUAAAGAGCUCGUAGGCGGUCUGUUGCGUCGGCUGUGAAAACCCGAGGCUCAACCUCGGGCCUGCAGCCGAUACGGGCAGACUAGAGUUCGGCAGGGGAGACUGGAAUUCCUGGUGUAGCGGUGAAAUGCGCAGAUAUCAGGAGGAACACCGAUGGCGAAGGCAGGUCUCUGGGCCAUAACUGACGCUGAGAAGCGAAAGCAUGGGGAGCGAACAGG
This 253-nucleotide ribosomal RNA is filed under the name uncultured bacterium. RNAcentral describes it as "partial 16S ribosomal RNA". It matches the Rfam family "Bacterial small subunit ribosomal RNA", at positions 524 to 776 of the family's 1533-position model. The record is from RNAcentral.